This 322-nucleotide ribosomal RNA is filed under the name uncultured eukaryote. RNAcentral describes it as "partial 18S ribosomal RNA". It matches the Rfam family "Eukaryotic small subunit ribosomal RNA", at positions 1470 to 1796 of the family's 1831-position model. The record is from RNAcentral.
CCCUUAGAUGUUCUGGGCCGCACGCGCGCUACACUGAUGCAUUCAACGAGCCUAUCCUUGACCGACAGGUCCGGGUAAUCUUUGAAUCUGCAUCGUGACGGGGAUAGAUUAUUGCAAUUAUUAAUCUUCAACGAGGAAUGCCUAGUAGGCGCAAGUCAUCAGCUUGCGUCGAUUACGUCCCUGCCCUUUGUACACACCGCCCGUCGCUCCUACCGAUCGAAGAGUUAGGUGAAUUGUUUUGAUCGAUAAGAUUUGACUAUGGUCAACUCUCGUUGGGAAAUUCUGUGAAUCUGACUGUUUAGAGGAAGGAAAAGUCGUAACA